ACCAGACUCCUACGGUAGGCAGCAUUUUUGAAUAUUGUGCAAUGGGCGCAAUCCUUACCCAGCAACUCCUCUUGAAGGAAUAAUUCUUUCGGGUUUUCCACUUCUUUUGACCUUGAAGAGCAUCAUCCGGUACCUUUCUCCUAAGCCACUUCUCACUACGUGCCCUCAUCCGCGGUACUCCUUCGGUGGCAAUCUUUGUCCGGAUUUACUGGGUGUAAAGGUCGUGUAGCCGGGGUGACAAGUCAGAUGUGAAAUCCGGGGGGUCAACCCCCGAACUGCAUUUGAAACUGUUGGUCUUGAGUAUCGGAGAGGAAGGCGGAAUUCAUAGUGUAGCGGUGAAAUGCGUAGAGAGGGGGAGGAACAACAGUGGCGAAGGCGGCAUGCUGGACGACAACUGACGGUGAGGCGCGAAAGCGUGGGGAGCAAACAGGAUUAGAUACCCCUGUA
RNAcentral lists this ribosomal RNA (447 nucleotides) under uncultured bacterium. Its description in RNAcentral is "bacterial SSU rRNA". It matches the Rfam family "Bacterial small subunit ribosomal RNA", at positions 330 to 792 of the family's 1533-position model. The record is from RNAcentral.